Erpetoichthys calabaricus (reedfish) is the source of this 1573-nucleotide long non-coding RNA. RefSeq lists it as uncharacterized. The record is from RefSeq and is a predicted model, not a curated record. The transcript is spliced from 3 exons. NCBI's taxonomy places the organism in Eukaryota, Metazoa, Chordata, Cladistia, Polypteriformes, Polypteridae.
GAUCCUGCAGGCAAUUAGAGCGAAAUCUCCGACGGGAGGUGCUAAGUGGUCCGCCGGACCGUCCGUAUCUGCGUCAUUAAUAUGCAUGAGGCCGGCCCGAGAGCCAUCAAGCGGCGGCCUCCGCAGUUCCCCGGCGCGGCACCGCUCAUCAGCAGCACAUUUGCGCUAAUGUCCUGAAAUGAAUCCGCACUCAUGUCAAACGGGUGCUUAAGACGAGAAUUUAGCGCAAAUUAAUCCGGAAGCUGAAAAAGGGAGCUCUUAAGAUCUGAGCGCUUUAAGAUGUAAAUGGCCGACCGCACUACCACUUUGUUUUCAUGCCAUUGGAUGAAUAAACGAGGGCAGCAUGUGCGCAUCCUAGCUGGCGACCCAGGUGAAGGUGCGAGCUCUAUUGGCCCUCAGUGUCCUACUUUUACUUUUGGAUGUUCUACUUCAUGGAAAAGUAGGCAGCAGCAUGAUGCCCCUGUUUGAAAGAAGCUCAAAGUCCUGGUGCAGGAAGAACAGCACUGAGAAACUGCCCAGUGGGGGCACUUAGCUCCACCCAGUCUGGGCCGUGUGAUAAAAGAAGCCCGGCUGCUCAGAAGGAAGAGUCACUUACAAACAAAGCAACCCACUGGACGCAGAUCCAAUGAUGGACCCUGGUUUCCACGGCAAAGAGCCAAAUUACUUUUGUUGUUUACUUUGCCCAAGCGGUCUGCUUAUUGAAGCCAAGGGGCUUAUUUUUGUUGGACGUUCCGUCAUUAAAUGGGACAACCUGGUUGGUGUCCCAACUAUUCCUUCCCUUUGCGACCUGUCAUUUCUGCACCCGACCACACAGUCCUAAUCCUGCAGUCUAUCGGAGUCUGUUGCUCACCAGUAGUGGGCACGUGGGACAAAAGAGUGCAUGACAAAUGUGAGCAAAUGACAGGGCCAGUGACAAAGGCGCAGAGAUAAAAUGCAAAUGAAUGCAGCACAUUGAAUCUCAUUUAGUAGGCAAUCCACAUGCCAGUUAUUCAGUUGCUCGGAACCUGUAAAACACAUGCAUUUUUGACUAAAAUAUUAGAUCAAAUCAUAAACUAGAACAUGCAUCCCCACAGUACUGGGCUUUUGAAUCAAAGAUCUGCCUCUCCACCUCAUUCACUGGUCAAGAGUCCUGUCUUCAGUUCAAAAGUAAAGUAUUAUGGGAAUUUGUCUUCCUGUUUAUGAUGGGCACUGAUUUUUCCACAAGUAUAUAUUUAACAAUAUUUUUAGCUUUUGUUUUGCAUGUUCUUAGCAUACAACUGAAUAACUGACAUGUGGAUUAAGUGGCACGAGUAAUGUGAGAUUUUUCUUCUUUUUUCCAUGGACGUUUUCCACAUUGUUUGCUGUUGUAUUGCCUAAAUCACCAUUGGGUUCAAUUAUAUCAUAUCAUUUUUUUCGGUUUUGCUGGAAAAAUAAUAAAAGUUUUUCUUGGAUGUUGUUUCAAAAUACAUGGGGUAAGUGACAUAAGAAAUAUCACUCUUUGGUGGAGUUUUCCUUUAACACUGAAUAUUCCCUUUUCUAAACACAUUGGCAAAAAAAUCAGACCAAUUAUUCAUUCUCUGCCAAACGGCUUUGU